Molecule: transfer RNA, 74 nt
Filed under: Myxococcaceae bacterium
Lineage: Bacteria; Pseudomonadati; Myxococcota; Myxococcia; Myxococcales; Myxococcaceae
Description: tRNA-Ala
Rfam family: tRNA
About the family: Transfer RNA (tRNA) molecules are approximately 80 nucleotides in length.
Source: RNAcentral
GGGGCGAUCGUCCAACGGGAAGACGCAAGCAUCGCACGCUUGAGAUCGGGGUUCGAUUCCCCGUCGCUCCACCA